ACGGCCGCAAGGUUAAAACUCAAAGGAAUUGACGGGGACCCGCACAAGCGGUGGAUUAUGUGGAUUAAUUCGAUGCAACGCGAAAAACCUUACCUACCCUUGACAUGUCCUGGAGCCCGGAGAGAUCCGGGUGUGCCCGAAAGGGAACGGGAACACAGGUGCUGCAUGGCUGUCGUCAGCUCGUGUCGUGAGAUGUUGGGUUAAGUCCCGCAACGAGCGCAACCCUUGCCAUUAGUUGCUACAUUCAGUUGGGCACUCUAAUGGGACUGCCGGUGACAAACCGGAGGAAGGUGGGGAUGACGUCAAGUCCUCAUGGCCCUUAUGGGUAGGGCUUCACACGUAAUACAAUGGUCGGUACAGAGGGUUGCCAAAGCGCGAGCUGGAGCCAAUCCCAGAAAGCCGAUCGUAGUCCGGAUUGCAGUCUGCAACUCGACUGCAUGAAGUCGGAAUCGCUAGUAAUCGCGGAUCAGCAUGUCGCGGUGAAUACGUUCCCGGGUCUUGUACACACCGCCCGUCACACCAUGGGAGCGGGUUUCACCAGAAGCCGGUAGCCUAACCGCAAGGAAGGCGCCGACCACGGUGAGAUUCGUGACUGGGGUG
RNAcentral lists this ribosomal RNA (600 nucleotides) under uncultured bacterium. RNAcentral's name for it is "bacterial SSU rRNA". It matches the Rfam family "Bacterial small subunit ribosomal RNA", at positions 882 to 1482 of the family's 1533-position model. The record is from RNAcentral.